GCCCUCGUAGUGAAACGGAUAUCAUACCGGUCUUCGGAACCGUCGUUGCAGGUUCGAAUCCUGCCGAGGGCACCA
This 75-nucleotide transfer RNA is filed under the name Candidatus Spechtbacteria bacterium RIFCSPLOWO2_02_FULL_38_8. Its description in RNAcentral is "tRNA-Arg". It matches the Rfam family "tRNA". From Rfam's summary of the family: Transfer RNA (tRNA) molecules are approximately 80 nucleotides in length. Their secondary structure includes four short double-helical elements and three loops (D, anti-codon, and T loops). Further hydrogen bonds mediate the characteristic L-shaped molecular structure. tRNAs have two regions of fundamental functional importance: the anti-codon, which is responsible for specific mRNA codon recognition, and the 3' end, to which the tRNAs corresponding amino acid is attached (by aminoacyl-tRNA synthetases). tRNAs cope with the degeneracy of the genetic code in two manners: having more than one tRNA (with a specific anti-codon) for a particular amino acid; and 'wobble' base-pairing, i.e. permitting non-standard base-pairing at the 3rd anti-codon position. The record is from RNAcentral. Lineage: Bacteria; Candidatus Spechtiibacteriota.